Long non-coding RNA from Gasterosteus aculeatus aculeatus (three-spined stickleback), 1507 nucleotides. The record is from Ensembl. NCBI's taxonomy places the organism in Eukaryota, Metazoa, Chordata, Actinopteri, Perciformes, Gasterosteidae.
UCCAACACCUACGGGGAUAAGCGUUCAAGAUUUAGACAGAGGAUUUACACAGGAAAGGAAGGACAAAGACAGAAAUUCUCCCAAAACAGAAAACAAUACAAUGGAUUUUUCCAAAAAAAUGCGUUUUUGGAAGAAGCUUGCCGCCAACCAAACGGUUGCUCCAGGGCCAAGUAAUCUGCAGAACGCAGAUAAGACAGAUAUGACAGCGGCUCAACAAACCAUUACGAGUCAAGCGUCAGAGAUCUCAAGUCUGAAAGAGAGUCUUCAAGAUGUCAAAAAGAUGUUUGAAGAUCGUGAAGCAGAAGUGCAGCUUCUGGUAAGUAGGGCGAUCGAGUCAAACAACCUUGAACUUGCGGACCACUUCUCAGAGAAGGCGGCCAAACUCCAACAGAUCCAGACAAACUCUACACAAGAGUACGAGAUUCUCCUGGCAGAACACCAAAACGUGGUUUUUGCCCUCCAUGCUGAGCAGGCCAAGACAACGCAGCUGGAGGAACAUAAGAACGUUCUGGAACAGAAAAGAAUGUUCUUGGAACAGAAAAUUGAGGUUCUGGAGGAGGGAAAGAAGGUUCUAGAUGAGGAAGGGAUUGUCCUGGGGGAGAAAAAAAUGGCCCUGGAACAGGAAAAUAUGCUCUUGGGGCAGAAAAAUAUCACCCUGGGCCAGGAAAACAUGCUCUUGGGGCAGAAAAAUAUCGCUCUGGCCCAGGAAAAUAUGCUCUUGGGGCAGAAAAAUAUCGCCCUGGGCCAGGACAAUAUGCUCCUGGGGCAAGAAAAGUUGGCUCUCCAGGACGAAAAGAUGGUCCUUGGGCAGGAAAAGGAAGUCCUGGAGAAGGAAAAGAUGGUUCUUGGCCAGGAAAAUGUCAUCCUCGAGGAUAUUUGCCUCGAGCUGAGGAAAAGAAUUCUAGGAUUCUUUGGACGGAAGAUGGAGGACAGAGCCACAGAGAUGGCAAAGCUGAAGAGGAAGAUGGCAGAUCAGGAAAGGAGGAGAGGAUUUUUCCAUCGCCUCUUCAGGAGAAACUCCAACAACAGUUCUCAGCAAGUGACUCUGCUUCGGUUUGGAGAGGCCUCAAACACCUCACCAACUACAAGCCAAAAACCCCCCACUCCAUGAAUGACCUCCGCCUGGCAGACGAGCUCAAUGAGUUCUACUGCAGAUUUGAAAGACAAUGUCCUGAUCCCAUCCCCCACAGCUCCACCAACCUGCUGCAGUCCCCCUCCCCUCCCUCCCCCAGCCCAUCAGGUGCUCACGCCUCUUCAUCAUUAUCACCUUCCCCUCCCCCACCAGCAACGACCCUCUCUAUUCUGGAGAGAGACGUUAACCGGCUCUUUAGAAGACUAAAUCCCCGUAAGGCAGCCGGUCCGGACUCCGUUUCCCCUCACUCCCUGAAGCAUUGUGCUGACCAGCUGUCUCCGGUGUUCACGGACAUCUUCAACACCUCCCUGGAGACAUGCCACGUACCAGCCUGCUUCAAGGCCUCCACCAUCAUCCCUGUCCCCAAGAAGCCCA